RNAcentral lists this ribosomal RNA (140 nucleotides) under Silene italica. Its description in RNAcentral is "partial 18S ribosomal RNA". It matches the Rfam family "Eukaryotic small subunit ribosomal RNA", at positions 1697 to 1831 of the family's 1831-position model. Lineage: Eukaryota; Viridiplantae; Streptophyta; Magnoliopsida; Caryophyllales; Caryophyllaceae. The record is from RNAcentral.
UCCGGUGAAGUGUUCGGAUCGCGGCGACGUGGGCGGUUCGCCGCCGACGACGUCGCGAGAAGUUCACUGAAACCUUAUCAUUUAGAGGAAGGAGAAGUCGUAACAAGGUUUCCGUAGGUGAACCUGCGGAAGGAUCAUUG